Long non-coding RNA from Ruditapes philippinarum (Manila clam), 553 nucleotides. RefSeq lists it as uncharacterized. NCBI's taxonomy places the organism in Eukaryota, Metazoa, Mollusca, Bivalvia, Venerida, Veneridae. The transcript has 3 exons. The record is from RefSeq and is a predicted model, not a curated record.
UCGAAAAAGGAAAUUAGAUUGUCAGGUGUAUAGAUUUCCAGUCUGCAUAUCAUUUACAUACAGUCUUGCAAAACUUCAGUAGUGUCCCUGGGGUCAAAAUUAAUCCUGUCUUACAGUAAUGUUGUAAAAAGUUCUAUUUAAAGUUUAAUGUAUAUAUGUAUUGUAAUAAAUAUAUCAACACCUACAUUAUAUAUUUUUUUAAAUUUUCAUCUUUGUUACUUACUUUACAUUAUAGUUAAUGCUAUAUUUGAAAAUUGUUAUUUUUUAUCUUCUUUGUGACUAUAAAUGGAACUGUGUUUGUGCAUAUAUAGGACAGUCUGUGGGUAGUGGUGUCAUUGUAUAAAUCCUGUGUCAACAGUUGCACAGUAGUUAUUCACAGUGUGACAGUUGACAGUGGAGUGGAGUGUUUUGUCAGGGUACUUGUUUUACAAACAAGAUCCAGACAGUACAGUAUUAUAUGGUAUUGUACAGUGGUAUACAGACCUGUUAAUAAAUAUUUGUAUGUCUUUGAGUGGACCCACUGGUUAAUAAAGCAGAAAUAUAUGUGAACCAA